RNAcentral lists this ribosomal RNA (253 nucleotides) under uncultured microorganism. Its description in RNAcentral is "partial small subunit ribosomal RNA". It matches the Rfam family "Bacterial small subunit ribosomal RNA", at positions 524 to 776 of the family's 1533-position model. The record is from RNAcentral.
UACGUAGGGAGCAAGCGUUGUCCGGAUUUACUGGGUGUAAAGGGUGCGUAGGCGGCGCUGCAAGUCAGGCGUGAAAUAUAUGGGCUUAACCCAUAGACUGCGUUUGAAACUGUGGUGCUUGAGUGAAGUAGAGGUAGGCGGAAUUCCCGGUGUAGCGGUGAAAUGCGUAGAGAUCGGGAGAACACCAGUGGCGAAGGCGGCUUACUGGGCUUUAACUGACGCUGAGGCGCGAAAGCAUGAGUAGCAAAACAGG